RNAcentral lists this long non-coding RNA (238 nucleotides) under Elaeis guineensis (African oil palm). Its description in RNAcentral is "long non-coding RNA (EGUI_LNC034995)". The record is from RNAcentral. Lineage: Eukaryota; Viridiplantae; Streptophyta; Magnoliopsida; Arecales; Arecaceae.
UCCUGGGGGAAUGGAUGAUCUUAAAGCUAAAGUUUCUUCAUGUUGCCCCUAGCAGAUUGGAGCUCCAGUACUAUCAGAUUCUUCCUCUUCUAGCAGGAGAUAACCAGAGUUGGAAGCAUCGAUAGAUGGUUGUUGGAAGCUAUUUCCAGGAGAAUUCUUCAUGACAGAGAGUGCCUUUGUUGUAUACAUCUCCCACAUUCUUACUUUGAGUUCAGGUUUAGAAAAGAUGAAGCAAGGC